Long non-coding RNA from Oxyura jamaicensis (ruddy duck), 2331 nucleotides. RefSeq lists it as uncharacterized. The transcript is spliced from 3 exons. Lineage: Eukaryota; Metazoa; Chordata; Aves; Anseriformes; Anatidae. The record is from RefSeq and is a predicted model, not a curated record.
UGCAUGGAAGAUGACUUGCUGAACCAGAGGCUGUGUCAGGAUUACAAGACCAUUAACAUUUGGAUGUGCACAGGGAACGAAACCUCAGACUCAUCAGUGAAUGACAUGCUGCAGAUGUUGGCUGCACCAGUCCAAGAAGAGUAAAUGUGAAAGUUGCUCACUGCUGGACUGGACCUUCCAGAAGACUCUAAGAGGCACCCAUAGCACCAUAACAGGCCAGAGUCAACCUAUUUCCUUGCCCGAUAAUGCUACUGCAGACUCCACAGCCACUGCCUGCAAGAGCCUUUCUCCCUUAAACAACACAGAGCCAGACGGCAACAGUUCGAUUCACAGAGCAAAAGAGAAAAAUCUUCUCAGGAUUGGAGGCUCCUAGGUGAGCAACUACAACAACUGAUCCAAAUGUUUCCCUUGCAUCAUGCGAUCAGUGAGAAUGUGUGUUUUCAUUUGCAUUUUCACCCUUUGGUUUUCUGCAUCUGGUAAAUACUGGCAAAGUAAAUGUUAAGAUGUCAGCUCUCUCUUCUAGAAAUGACUGACAGCCCCUAAGUGCUCUGGGCUUUUUAUAACCAAUGUGACUGACAGCUUUUAAGUGGAAGCAGUUCAUGCAACUUUCAAAUGUUAGUUGUCUGCACGAAUAACGUGGAAUAUUGGCUUUUCUUGUAUCUACCUAAUGGUAUUUCCUUCUGCGUCGGCAGAAGCUCGAAACCUUAAGUUGUUACAGGGAAAAAAAGUCUGUGUUCUCAGCUCUGCACAUUUCUAAAGCUCUCAGGCUAACAAAAGGAAAAGUAAACUCAUGCCUAUAUUUUAAGUUCUCGCAUUUCAAAGCAGCGUAGCAGCAAGUCAUUUUUCUUCACAUCAGGCUUGGCUAAGAGAUGGCAUUGGCUUGUACAGUAACAUUUCUACUUAAUCAUUUUCAAGCAGCCUGCACCAAAAACUUUCAAGAAAUCCAAAAGUAUUAUUAUCCCAUUAAUGCACCCAAUGAAGGCAGUUGGCAACCAUGGUACUGAGUCCAGUAUCUCUCUAACUGACAUUCUAACAAUUAAGGCAAACAGAUGCCCUAAAUAUUAUACAUAACAUUGAAGGUAAAUACCAGAAAUGCACAUGCUACUUCACAAAUAAAGGAGGAAAAAUUAGCAGUGUCAUCUACAGGUUUGCAUUUCAUAUCCAAGUACAGGUGAAAGACAAAACAGUGCAGUUAGUGCACCAACAACUGGUAAUUUAGGUGCAUUUAUUUUAAAUUGCAACAGAUGAGGAAUUUAAGUGCUGUUAAUAUGCACGUUUCAACAGGGUUGGUAAGAGUAUUUCAACUUGUAACAAUUUUUCCAGCAUACUACAGGAAAAAAGUCAGCCUGCUUUCCCUAGAAAAUUCAAGGUCCUUUUGCACCUGGCCUCUGUGACAGAGAUCAGGUGAAGGAGCCCUCCUUUGACUCUUCCAUGUCUCAGCACCGCUAACAACCAUUCUCCAAAAGAAAAUGCCCAUGCACUGCCCAACAGCAAGGGACAGACAGACUGAGCAUCCAGGGCACGAACCAGCCAGCCAGACUAAAAAUGUGCAGACGCAAAAAAUACCAGAUAUACAGUAUGACAGAAACACAGACCUACUCUUCGGUUCCCCAAGAUUUUCUCUUUGUUGAGCUGGAUGUGAGCCUAGAAACAACCUUGGGUGCUCAGGGAGGCAAAGCUCUAGAGUCACUGAAGAUGACUGGUGGGGCACAAUCAAGGUUUUACAAUGCCAUCACCAUAAAAAGAUCAGUGAGCAGUCAUUAGGAUAUGGAACAGACCAUUCAAAACUUGUAAGGAACGCAUUCCUGUUAGCAUAGGACCUUUGUUUGGUUCUCCAUGAAAGAGAAACCAGUUCCACAUUAAGUAAUAAUCCACCUCACUUUCUUGGAUGCAAUGCAAGUUUUUUGUAUUUGCCUUUCCUUGUUCAGUUACAUGACAUCAACAACUCAUGCUUUUUUUUUUUUUAAAGGAAUUUAAGUGGUGAUCAUUUAUUAACUGUACAACAUAAUCUACCUCAGAGAGUACUACAAUUUCCUCUUCUUCUCAACUUCUCAUUUUUCUCAACUUUAAUGCAGUUCUGUAAGAUUUUCCGCUCUCCAGAGGACAGACAAUAAUCAGGUUAGAUUGGUAUCUUUAUAACACUGACCUUAAAGUUCACUUCAUUUUCCCUCCCAUCCUCCCCAGCCUUCUUUAAGUUCUUUCUGAUCCACUUUCUACUGUUGAAUGUCCCUAAAAAGAGAAACUGGAAGCAGAUGUAUCAUUUUACCUCAAAAUUUAUCUGUGUGAAAAAUAAAUAAAUCAUUGCACAUCAAAUAAAUAAAAUUACUUUAA